AGAGCUUAACUCUGGAACUGCCAUCAAAACUUUUUAGCUAGAGUAUGAUAGAGGAAAGCAGAAUUUCUAGUGUAGAGGUGAAAUUCGUAGAUAUUAGAAAGAAUACCAAUUGCGAAGGCAGCUUUCUGGAUCAUUACUGACACUGAGGAACGAAAGCAUGGGUAGCGAAGAGGAUUAGAUACCCUCGUAGUCCAUGCCGUAAACGAUGUGUGUUAGAUGUUGGAAAUUUAUUUUCAGUAUCGCAGCGAAAGCGAUAAACACACCGCCUGGGGAGUACGACCGCAAGGUUAAAACUCAAAUGAAUUGACGGGGACCCGCACAAGUAGUGGAGCAUGUGGUUUAAUUCGAAGAUACGCGCAGAACCUUACCAACACUUGACAUGUUCGUCGCGACUUUAAGAGAUUAAAGUUUUCGGUUCGGCCGGACGAAACACAGGUGCUGCAUGGCUGUCGUCAGCUCGUGUCGUGAGAUGUUGGGUUAAGUCCCGCAACGAGCGCAACCCUUACUUUUAGUUGCCAUCAUUUAGUUGGGCACUCUGAAAGAACUGCCAGUGAUAAGCUGGAGGAAGGUGGGGAUGACGUCAAGUCCUCAUGGCCCUUACGUGUUGGGCUACACACGUGCUACAAUGGCAUUUACAAUAGGAAGCAAGACGGCGACGUUAAGCAAAUCCUAAAAAAAUGCCUCAGUUCGGAUUGUACUCUGCAACUCGAGUACAUGAAGCUGGAAUUACUAGUAAUCGCGGAUCAGCGCGCCGCGGUGAAUGCGUUCCCGGGUCUUGUACACACCGCCCGUCACACCAUGGGAGUUGGUUCUACCUUAAGGCAAAGCUUAAAAACUUUGACCACGGUAUAGUCAGCGACUGGGGAGAAGUCGUAACAAGGUAGCCGUAGGGGAACCUGCGGCUG
RNAcentral lists this ribosomal RNA (905 nucleotides) under marine metagenome. RNAcentral's name for it is "bacterial SSU rRNA". It matches the Rfam family "Bacterial small subunit ribosomal RNA", at positions 604 to 1520 of the family's 1533-position model. The record is from RNAcentral.